Small nucleolar RNA from Solea solea (common sole), 220 nucleotides. RefSeq annotates it as small nucleolar RNA SNORA73 family. Lineage: Eukaryota; Metazoa; Chordata; Actinopteri; Pleuronectiformes; Soleidae. The record is from RefSeq and is a predicted model, not a curated record. The transcript has a single exon.
CCGACAUGGACAUCCGGCGAGUGCCUCUCGCCGGCUCUGUCCUCGUGGCGUAAGGGAGCGUAGCUCUCGAGCCAAGACGUAAAGUCCCAUUCCACAAUGUCGGAGACAAAGCUCUGUCCCCGGCCGUCGGCCGGCGAGGACGAGCGUCCUGCAUAUUCCUACAUCUUCCCAGAGUCUUAACGGACCGUGACUGGGGAGCUAAACCAUGCAGUGCACACGA